Lolium rigidum is the source of this 3210-nucleotide long non-coding RNA. RefSeq lists it as uncharacterized. The transcript has 4 exons. Lineage: Eukaryota; Viridiplantae; Streptophyta; Magnoliopsida; Poales; Poaceae. The record is from RefSeq and is a predicted model, not a curated record.
CCGGCUCCUCCCUCCCCACCAUCCGGGUCGCCUCGCCGGUAUCUCGGUCCCCACCGGUGCAGGUCACCUUGUCGGCACCUACGUCCUCACCAACCCAGGCGAGAUCACUGUUCCCGGCCUCCUCUCUUCCUCUCCAGGGAAGAAGUUGAGAGAAGAUUGGUUAAAAAUCUUGGUGAAGAACAAGGUAGACGUAAUGUGGAUACAGAAAAAUGCUUAGACAAUGUCAAGCAGGUCCAAAUGAUGUUCAAACUGGUGACCUUUUUCUAACCGUUAAGAAGGCAAAGUAUUCGGCAGUCGGCACACUUAUUUAUUCAGUUUUCCGAGCAUGGUUGGUUUGAAACUAAUAUGGUGUUUUUUGGGCAUUGUUGAUGUUGGAGAAAUCGGUGGUACUAUAGUGGACGAUGUUGCAUCCUCAUGCAGGUAAGAGUUUCGUCUAAAUGAACUUUUCAUUGGUACAUGUCAUGUUUCUAAAUAACCUUUUAUGUUUCUUACUAUGUUAGUUUAGAAAGGAUUUAGCACAGAUUAAAAAGGUCAUUGCAAUUGUCCAGAUAUAUAUUACUAGCUCACCUUUCUAAUUUCAGUUUUUGGUUAUUCUCGAUUCCCACUGUCCACUCUCAUACGGAAAGGCAGAUUAUUCUCUCCAAUCAAGCCAUUCAUAUAUUUAUCCCUUGUGGGCACACACAUACUCGUAUGCAGUUGGAGAUGGAUGUAAAUGAUUUUCAUUCACCUGUGAAGAUGCCUGUAUUCUUUGCAACAGUUUUCCGUGAUUGGUCAUUUCCGAAUUAGUGAGAGAGGUUGGGUAGAAGCUCGUCAUGACGUGUUUUUCUUUAAUUUCCUUUCUCCAAUUAAGCUAUCAUCUCGAAAUAUUUGCUUUUUGCAUUGCUACGACGGAAGUGUGUGGCCGCGAGGAGGAGCAAUAUAUGAGAAGGAAACUAUGCUGUCACGUAGUUGUAAAUAUUGGCGCGGCUUCAUUGGUGGCUCAUGGCCCUUUGUAAGUUCAGGCAAUGCUACUACUCGAUGACCAGUUCAAUAUUUAGCUCCUCGCCCUUUGUAAGUUCACGCAUUGCUACUACUCGAUGACCAGUUCAGUAUUUUACUCCAUGACUUGUGUUUACAUGUACAUGGAUUGUGGAUUUGUGGUGCCCAACUAAUGCUCAUGUCUUCCCGAUGGUUUUCUUAUUAAGAACAAAGAACAAGCAAGUACGAGGCACUAGUGAGGCAUAUGAAUUAGUCCCCAACCAAGGUAUUUUACUUAUCCCCAUCUUUAAUUCGUUUGUUUGGACAGUUCUUGCCAUCUGGAAUCCUGUGUCAGCAGCAACUGUUUCAGCUAAGUCUAGCAAGGCUGCAUUGAUUGUCUGCGAUUAUACAAUUCUAGUUCAAUUUUCAGAGGCAAACUCAUAAAUAAGAAGGUAUGAGCUAUAUUUGCUUAUGUAAAUGUUCAUAUAUUUUGAGAUAUAAAUUGAGAAGGUCUUGAUGAGGAGGUUAUGCAAUGAUGAUAUACAUUGAGAAUAAGCGAAGCUAGCAGCGUAAUGUUUCAGAUUUUCUUUUUCAGUAGGGAGGAUGUCAUGUGCUUUUGGGUUCAGACUUGUGUCCUGUUGGAGGCUAAAGCGUGGUGAACUCAAUUUUUCUACCAUGUGCUAUCAUCCCACUGAAACUUUUCCUCCUCAGAGUACUUGUUCUACAUAGUGAUAUCUACUCUACCAUGACAUGGUAUCAGGAUAUGUCAAGAGGCUCUGUUGUGCUAUUUUUCUUUUCCAAAAUGAAAUAUUUGUUUGUGUUUAGUUUGGACCUUUAUGUACAAACUUAGUGUUUCCAAGCCAAUUAGUUACCUCAUUCCUUUGUCAAUGUCAAAUUACAGGGCACUUUUAAUAGUGUGUUACAGGAAAAAAAAAAGCUGCUUCUAGCCCAAUUUAGAUUGCUGUUAUAAUUAUCAUCUAUGCCUGGAUGUCCUAUUUGGAGUGAUUAUGCUGAACCAUGUGGGGCUCAGGAUAAAAUAAUCAUUCAGUAACAAAGGAAUGAUUCAUGGAUGAUAAAGACAAUUGCAGUUUUGCUACUUUUUUCUCUGUUUACCACUAGCUUUAGGUUUUUAGUGUUUUCACGGGUUGCUUGAUACAUACACCACCCUGGGUGCUAUAAUUUUAGUUAUUAGGAUUAUGUAAAGUUUCCUUGUGAAUCUUGUUGUGUAAGGGCCUUACAGUUUCUUGCAUUUUAUGAGAUUUCAUUAUUAUGGAACUUAACAUAGAAUCUGCCGCCAUUAACUAGGACCGCUUCUUCUUCAGUGAAUCCCUUUUAUGCAACUGCAUAUAACCAAUCUUAAUAACUUCAAUAGGUAACUUUCUUAUAUAUCAGAGAGAAGUAAGUUUUCUAAUUGCCUACUUUAAUUGUAAUUCCUGCCGUGUUAUUCUCUGAAAUUUAUAGCAUUUAUAUUUUUUCUGCUUGAGAAGGUUGUAUCGAGAGCUGUACAAAUGUACUGAGAUAUUUGAUGUGUGCUAAAUCAGAAGUGUUGCUAUCCAUGUGCAAGACACUCAUACAUUUUGGUUUCCCUGGUGAUGUGCUUCAUUGACCACUGCUAUGAAAGGCCUAUUUGAUUAGGAUUACAACAGAAAGAUAUGUAUAUGUGCAAGACAAGAUUAGUUCAAAACUCAGUCGAGCUAUCCUUUUGAAUUUAUUUCAUGCAAACAUGUUUUGCCUAGGUAAUGCUUCAAGUCACCGUGUACUAGAGUAGGUAAGAGUUUGGAAGCAUUCUUCAUGGUAUUGCCUUGCAAAAUUGAAUGUUAAGUUUGUGGUGUUCAGUAAACAUUAUGUGCUGCUUUGGCCCAGAACACAACUCCGGACAGUUUACUGUCGAAGCGGAGCCAAGUAUAAUAAAUAAAGAAAAAACAUGCAACCGCAUCUAUUGAUUGUUUGUCAUGGUGCUAAAUAUCAAGGAACAUGUUCAGAAUUGGGGUGCACAGCUCUAGCCAGGAGGCGCCCCAUGGGGCGCCCCAACCACUAGUAGAACAAUCAACACCGCUUAAGGCUGCGUGGAUGUUACAACAACAAAUGGGAGUUACAAGAACCGGCGAAUCACGUCCCAAUCCACGUCUCCUCUCUCUCCUUUCUGUCCCCCCUCCGCGUGGGCUUCGCCGGGGAGUUCUCGCGGGCUCUCCGAGGUGGGCUUGGCCUUCUCUCUAAGACGACCAGCUGCCUGCGAGUAGUUUAGGGCUGGCC